GGCGCACAGCGGAGAACAUGUGGUUAUCGAUGAUACGCGAGGACUACCGGCUGAACUGCAGAGACUCGGCUGAGACAGCGUUCUCGGGCUCUGUGAGUGCUGCAUGGUUGUCGUCAGCUCGUGCCGUGAGGUGUCGGCUAGUGCCAUAACGAGCGCAACCCCUCUCCGUAGUUGCCAUCGGGUUAUGCCGGGCACUCUGCGACACUGCCACCGCAAGGUGCGAGGAAGGUGGGAUGACGUCAAAUCAGCACGGCCUUACGUCCGGGGCUACACACGUGUUACAAUGGGGCAUACAGAAAGCCGGCCGUACGCGAGUGCGGUCCAAUCCCGAAAGUGCCCCUCAGUUCGGACUGGGGUCUGCAACCCGACCCCACGAAGCUGGAUUCGCUAGUAAUCGCGCAUCAGCCAUGGCGCGGUGAAUACGUUCCCGGGCCUUGUACACACCGCCCGUCAAGCCAUGAAAGCCGGGGGCGCCUGAAGUCCGUGACCGCGAGGGUCGGCCUAGGGUGAAACCGGUGAUUGGGGCU
This 527-nucleotide ribosomal RNA is filed under the name uncultured rumen bacterium. RNAcentral's name for it is "bacterial SSU rRNA". It matches the Rfam family "Bacterial small subunit ribosomal RNA", at positions 918 to 1482 of the family's 1533-position model. The record is from RNAcentral.